Molecule: ribosomal RNA, 4117 nt
Filed under: Candidatus Woesebacteria bacterium
Lineage: Bacteria; Candidatus Woeseibacteriota
Description: 23S ribosomal RNA
Rfam family: Bacterial large subunit ribosomal RNA
Source: RNAcentral
UAUCAAGCUACUCAACUAAAGCAUAUAGUGGAUGCCUAGGCAUGUUGUGCCGAAGAAGGACGUAUAAGGCCGCGAAAGUCGUCGGUGAGGAGCCAUAAUCCUUUGACCCGGCGGUGUCCGAAUGGGGUAACCCCGCUGUCAGUAAUGGCAGUGUACCGCAGAUUUAUCUGCGAGUAGGUAACCCGGAGAACUGAAACAUCUAAGUACCCGGAGGAAAAGAAAUCGAACGAGAUUCCCCUAGUAAGCGGUGAGCGAAAAGGGAACAGCCUAAACCGUAAUUUAUUACGGUGUUGCAGGGCUAUACAUAACGUCAAGUAAGAGAUAGAAGAACACCGUGGAAUAGGUGACCAUAGUGCGUGAUAGUCGCGUAAUCGAAAUCUCUAACUUGGUAGUAUAGUUCCUAAGUACGUUGGGAGACGGCAAACUCCCUGCGGAAUCCGCCCCGACCACGGGGCAAGGCUAAAUACGCAACAUGACCGAUAGUGAACUAGUACCGUGAGGGAAAGGUGAAAAGAUGGGUGAGACACCCAGUGAAAUAGUACCUGAAACUGUAUGCUAACAAACAGACAGAGUCUGGAUUUAUCCGGAUGAUGUCGUGCCUAUUGAAGAAUGACCCGUCGAGUUUGCAUGUACUGCAAGUCUAAGCGAUAUCGUCGCGGAGGCGUAGUGAAAGCGAGGAUGAAUAGUCCGAUUAGCAGUGCGUCCAAGACCCGAAACCGGAGUGAGCUAACCAUGAGCAGGGUGAACCCCAUGUAAAAGUGGGGGAAGGCCCGAACCAGUGAAUGCUGCAAAAUUCUUGGAGGACUUGUGGUUAGAGGUAAUAUGCCAAUCGAACCCGGAGAUAGCUGGUUCUCCCCGAAAUAUAUUUAGGUAUAGCCUCAAGUGAUUGCAUGAUGGGGGUAGAGCACUGAAAAGGUGCGGGAUCGCAAGGUCUCUCACUUUAUCAAACUCCGAAUACCAACAUGUUCAGCUUGGGAGUCAGUCCCUGGGAGCUAAGUUCCAGGGGCAAAAGGGAAACAACCCACGAUCGUCAAUUAAGGUCUCAAAAUCAUAACUAAGUGGCUCAAGGAAGUCAUAAUCCAUAUACAGCUAGGAGGUCGGCUCAGAAGCAGCCAUCCUUGAAAGAAAGCGUAACAGCUCACUAGUCUCGGAUUGUGGCGCCGAAGACCCAUCGAGGCUCAAGUUAUGUACCGAAAUUACGGAUUUGUAAGCGAUUUAUCGUUUAUAAGUGGUAGGGGAGCGUUCUGACAACUGUGAAGUCGUCCUGUAAGGGGCGGUGGAGUGGUCAGAAGUGAGAAUGGCGGGAUGAGUAGCGAGAAUAAGGUGAGAAUCCUUAUCACCGUAUGUUCCAGGUUUCCAACGCAACGUUCGUCGGCGUUGGGUUAGGCGGCCCUAAGGCGAGGCUGGUGUAAUGCCGGCGUAGUCGAUGGAUUACAGGUUGAUAUUCCUGUCCUUUUGGGCGUUCGUUAUCAACUGGGGAGUGACGGUUUAGGAAGGGCAAGGCGCAUUAUCGAAUUUGCGUCCAAGCGUUAAGGGAGUUGACUCUAGGAAAAUCCGGAGUUGGCAUUACGAUCCGAGACGUGAUGGAAAAUGUUGGCUUCGGCCAGCGUGAUCUUGUAUCCUUUCUGAAUCCAAGAAAACCUUCGCAGUGAGAAUGUUCAAAAUCCGUACCGCAAACCGACACAGGUGAACUGGUAGAGUAUACCAAGGUGAGCGAGAGAACCUUCCUUAAGGAACUCGGCAAAUUAGCUAGGCGUAACUUAGGGAGAUGCCUAACCUGUUUUUUGGGUACUUGUAUUCAAAAAAUGGGUCGCAGAUAAAGACUAUGAGGUGACUGUUUAACAAAAACACAGGUCUGUGCGAAGGCGUAAGCCUACGUAUACGGGCUGAGGCCUGCCCAGUGCCAGAAGGUUAACUGAGAGGGUAACCCCGACUUGUUCGGGAUAGCCUUUGAUUGAAGCCCUGGUGAACGGCAGCAGUAACUAUAACUGUUCUAUGGUUAAGGACUAAUAAUCGUUGCCAUAGUGAGGUAGUCAAACCUCUUCUAACGCGUGCAGAAAAAACGUUAGAAAAAACUUUGCUAUUUGCUGGAAGAGCUGAGAAUAUUCUGCUACUAUGAGUGUAAUGACACAUAGUGACAAUGCAAGAAUUGCAGCAAACCAGCAGGAAAGAUUCCGAUUUAUCGGAGAAUCCUCAGAGACUACAUGCAGAGUACGGCGAAAGCCUAAAGAUAUAGUCCGAACUGCAUAGCGAUAUGCAGAGUGUGGUAAUCACACGAGUCGAAAGACUUUAACAUUAUUAAGCGAAAUUCCUUGUCGGGUAAGUUCCGACCUGCACGAAUGGUUUAACAAUCUCAUAACUGUCUUGAGGGAGGGCUCGGCGAAAUUGAAAUGGCUGUGAAGAUGCGGCCUACUGGUAACAGGACAAAAAGACCCCGUGGAGCUUUACUGUACCUUGACACUGAAAUUUAUGUUUUGACUGUGUAGCGUAGGUGGGAGCCGCAAGGCGAUCAUGUAACACCACUCUUUGAAACGUGAGUUUCUCACUUAUCCCUCUGGAUCGAGGGAGAGGACACUGUCUGGGAGGCAGUUUAACUGGGGAGGUUGCUUGCUAAAGAGUACCGCAAGCGCUCAAAGGUAUCCUAAUUCCGGAUGGAAAUCGGAAUGAUAGUGCAAGGGCAUAAGGAUGCCUGACUGUGAGACACACAAGUCAAGCAGAGACGAAAGUCGGACCUAGUGAUCCUCGUGUACUUCGUGGGAGGUACCGGGCUUAUCGGAUAAAAGCUACCCCGGGGAUAACAGAGUAGUUGCACCUGAGCGUCCACAGCGACGGUGCAGUUCGCUACCUCAACAUAUCGGGGUCCUCAGAUUGUAAGAUCUGAGUGCUGUUUUAGAUCAAUGAUCUAAAGAAAAACCAACUCAUAACGGUGAAACCCUCAUUCAUUGAACCCACUUGAUAUUCGGUGUUAUUUCGGUAAUACUAGAAUCAAGCGUUUGAAUAGGGCAAUACCGUGGGAAGUUUGUCAAAAUUACAAUCAGAUGUAGUAAUAGGAUGUAUGCUUGGUGAUGGAUAUAUGCGUUGCAAAAACAAUGCACAUCUCCAAAUCACACAUAGUAUUCAUCAAAAAGACUACGUUGAUUGGAAGUAUAGCGUCCUAAAUAAUUGCGUACUAACGCCGCCAAAAUCAUAUAAAGGUAAUGGUAAGAGAGUAGGCUAUCGGUUUUUUACCGCUAGCAUGCCUUGCUUUACUUCUAUAUAUCAUCAAUUUUAUAUCAAUAAAAAGAAGAUAAUUCCUCUUGAUUUAGAACUAAAUGCUCGCAUUAUGGCAGUGUGGUACAUGGACGACGGAAGUUUGUGUGAUAAAAGUUGCUACCUCAAUACGCAGGUGUUCCCUGAACAAGAACAACUCUUACUGGGUAGACUCCUUUUUAGAUAUUUUGGGUUGACUGUCAGUCGUGAUCAAGAUAAGCAAUAUUAUCGAUUACGAUUUAACGUCAAAGAAUCCAAAAAGUUUGUCGAUAUUAUUCGACCAUACAUAAUUCCUUCUAUGGCAUACAAAAUUUUGAUAUAACCCCGUAUCGACUGGAUCCCCGCCUUGGCGGGGUGAAGAUAGGGAUAAAAUAUCUCUAUAAAACGUUGGCACCCUCUAUUUAAUUAGAGAGGUGAUGGUAUAGUCAAAACUAAUUGGAGACAAUUAAAUAAUUAUUGAGCGAUGUCGGCUCAGCGCAUCCUGGGGCUGGAGAAGGUCCCAAGGGUUGGUCUGUUCGCCCAUUAAAGCGCUACGUGAGCUGGGUUCAGACCGUCGUGAGACAGGUCGGUCUCUAUCCGUUAUCAGCGUUGGAAUUUUGAGGGGGGUUGCUCUUAGUACGAGAGGACCGGAGUGAGCCAACCGCUAGUGUUUCUGUUGUAGUCGUCAGACGCAUCGCAGAGUAGCUACGUUGGUAAGUGAUAACCGCUGAAAGCAUCUAAGCGGGAAACACGCCCCAAGAUGAGAAUUCCUUGUUUAUAGAAAUAUAGACGGUAGAUCCCUGGAAGACCACCAGGUAAUCGGCAGGAGGUGUACGCACUGCAAAGUGUUUAGCUGACCUGUCCAGAGACAUCAGAAUCUUCUGAUAGU